CAAUAGCGUAUAUUAAAAUUGUUGUGGUUAAAAAGCUCGUAGUUGGAUCUGCGUCUGGCAAGCGUGGUCCCCUAAUUGGUGGUACUACGUUUUGCUGGACUAAUUAUUCGGUUUUCCCUUGAUGCUCUUCACUGAGUGUCUUGGGUGGCCGGAACGUUUACUUUGAAAAAAUUAGAGUGCUCAAAGCAGGCGUUUCGCCUGAACAUUCGUGCAUGGAAUAAUAAAAGAGGUCCCUGCAGCUCUUUAUUGGUUAUCGCUGUAAGGAAAUGAUCGACGGGGACAGACGGGGGCAUUCGUAUUGCGACGUUAGAGGUGAAAUUCUUGGAUCGUCGCAAGACGAACUACUG
RNAcentral lists this ribosomal RNA (347 nucleotides) under Nematoda environmental sample. Its description in RNAcentral is "bacterial SSU rRNA". It matches the Rfam family "Eukaryotic small subunit ribosomal RNA", at positions 592 to 945 of the family's 1831-position model. The record is from RNAcentral. Lineage: Eukaryota; Metazoa; Nematoda.